Molecule: ribosomal RNA, 403 nt
Filed under: uncultured bacterium
Lineage: Bacteria
Description: partial 16S ribosomal RNA
Rfam family: Bacterial small subunit ribosomal RNA
Source: RNAcentral
AUUGAACGCUGGCGGCAGGCCUAACACAUGCAAGUCGAGCGAGCGGCGGACGGGUGAGUAAUGUAUGGGGACUGCCCGAUAGAGGGGGCUAACUACUGGAAACGGUGGCUAAUACCGAAUACUAUCGGAUAACCCAUAUGGGAUUAGCUAGUAGUGUGGGUAAAGGGUCACCUAGGCGACGAUCUCUCGCUGGUCUGAGAGGAUGAUCAGCCACACGGGGACUGAGACACGGCCCAGACUCCUACGGAGGCAGCAUUGGGGAAUAGUGCACAAUGGGCGCAAGCCGGAUGCAGCCAUGCCGCGUGUAUGAAGAAGGCCGUAGGGUUGUAAAGUACUUUCAGCGGGGAGGCGUUACCCGCAGAAGAAGCACCGGCUAACUCCGUGCCAGCAGCCGCGGUAAUAA